GACGAACGCUGGCGGCGUGCUUAACACAUGCAAGUCGAACGGUGAAAGGGGGCUUUGCUCUGGUGGAUGAGUGGCGAGCGGGUGAGUAACACGUGAGUAAGCUGCCCCUGACUGCGGAAUAACUACAGGAGACUGUAGCUAAUACCGGAUAUGCGCGGGAGAGGCAUGGGGAUCGUUGGGAAAGAAGUUCGGUCAGGGAUGGACUCGCGGCUUAUCAGCUUGUUGGUGAGGUAACGGCUCACCAAGGCAUCGACGGGUAGCCGGCCUGGGAGGGUGACCGGCGACAUGGGGACUGAGAGACGGCCCAGACUCCUACGGGAGGCAGCAGUGGGGAAUAUUGCACAAUGGGCGCAAGCCUGAUGCAGCAACCCCGCGUGAGGGAUGACGGCCUUCGGGUUGUAAACCGCUUUUAGCUGGGACGAAGCGAAAGUGACGGUACCUGCAGAAUAAGCACCGGCUAACUACGUG
This 468-nucleotide ribosomal RNA is filed under the name uncultured bacterium. RNAcentral's name for it is "partial 16S ribosomal RNA". It matches the Rfam family "Bacterial small subunit ribosomal RNA", at positions 28 to 507 of the family's 1533-position model. The record is from RNAcentral.